AACCACAAAUAUCCAUAAAAAACAAAACAAACCAUUUGACUAACCAAGUAGAUGUGAUCGAACAGUAACUAUAAACUACAGUACCGCAAGGGAACCACUAAAAGCACCAAACAGCAAAGAUAAACACUUGUACCUUUCGCAUCAUGGUUUAGCUAGAAACCCAGGACAAGAAGAAUCACAGCCCACACCCCGAAACCAGAUGAGCUACUUUAAAGCAGCCUAUAGGGCACACCCUUCUCUGUAGCAAAAGAGUGGGAAGACUUGUAAGUAGAUGUGAAACGCUUAACGAAUCUGGAGAUAGCUGGUUACCAAAAAAUGAAUUUUAGUUCAACCUUAAUACAAAAAAUAACCAAUUAUAAUUUAAGGGUAAUCAGUAGGGGUACAGCUCUACUGAAACAGGAUACAACCUGAAUUUGAGAGGAAAACUAACAACAUAAACCCGUAGGCCUUCAAGCAGCCACCAAAAAAAAUAUCGUUAAAGAAUUAAACACAAAAAUCCCAAAACCAACAAAAAACUCCAAAUAAACUAAUGGUAAAUCCAUAUAUAUGGAUAUUAUUAUGCUAAAACUAAUAAUAAGACAACCCCUCUAACACGCACCUGUCCACUAGAACGGAAAACCCACUAGCCAUUAACAGACCAAAACAGGCAUUAACUAACCAAUACACAUCUUAACACAAACUGUGACCCCAACACAGGAGCGUAUAAAGAAAGAUUAAACACUAUAAAAGGAACUCGGCAACCAAAGACCCCAACUGUUUAACAAAAACAUAACCUUUAGCUAAACAAAUAUUAAAGGCAACGCCUGCCCAGUGAACAAUUCAACGGCCGCGGUACCCUAACCGUGCAAAGGUAGCAUAAUCAUUUGUCUAUUAAUUAUAGACCAGUAUGAACGGCAAAAUGAGGGCCUAACUGUCUCUUAUAGUAAAUCAAUUAAACUGAUCUUUUAGUAAAAAAGCUAAAAUUACAACAUAAGACCAGAAGACCCUGUGAAGCUUAAACUAAACUAUUAAACCACAUAAUAACUACUUUCGGUUGGGGCGACCUUGGAAAAAAAAAGAACUUCCAACAAACAUUAAUUAGGCCAACAAGCCAACAAACUAGACCCAGCAAAGCUGAUAAUUGAACCAAGUUACUCCAGGGAUAACAGCGCAAUCUUCUUCAAGAGUCCAUAUCAAAAAGAAGGUUUACGACCUCGAUGUUGGAUCAGGACAUCCUAAUGGUGCAGAAGCUAUUAAGGGUUCGUUUGUUCAACGAUUAAU
RNAcentral lists this ribosomal RNA (1260 nucleotides) under Chrysopelea ornata. Its description in RNAcentral is "partial 16S ribosomal RNA". It matches the Rfam family "Bacterial large subunit ribosomal RNA", at positions 440 to 2592 of the family's 2925-position model. Lineage: Eukaryota; Metazoa; Chordata; Lepidosauria; Squamata; Colubridae. The record is from RNAcentral.